This is a long non-coding RNA of Cynara cardunculus var. scolymus (artichoke), 338 nucleotides long. RefSeq lists it as uncharacterized. The record is from RefSeq and is a predicted model, not a curated record. NCBI's taxonomy places the organism in Eukaryota, Viridiplantae, Streptophyta, Magnoliopsida, Asterales, Asteraceae. The transcript is spliced from 2 exons.
CCGAAACUUGGGUUAAUGCACUUGAUGGCAGGGAGUUUUUAGGGGGCACCAAGCCUAAUGUGGCUGACCUUGCCGUGUUUGGAGUAUUGAGACCCAUUCGUUAUCUGAGAUCAGGUAAGGAUAUGGUUGAGCACACACGAGUGGAGAAUGUUGUUGGUGCAUCUUCAAGGAUACAAACCUAAUUUUCAUGUUGUAUUCAUCUUGAAGGCCAAGUGAUAUGCAAGAAGCAAAGUAUAUAUACAUUUUUGUCUUCCGUCUUGACUAAGUCGUGUUGAAAAACUUCAAAGUUAAUUUUGUUGCUAUGAAUUCGUAGCAUGAAACGAGUUGUAUUGCGAUUC